RNAcentral lists this unclassified non-coding RNA (206 nucleotides) under Hevea brasiliensis (rubber tree). Lineage: Eukaryota; Viridiplantae; Streptophyta; Magnoliopsida; Malpighiales; Euphorbiaceae. The record is from RNAcentral.
UGGUAGCUCAGAAAAUUAUGAUUUUUUUUGCAAUAGCUUAGUAAUAUUUCUAAGGACCGCGGGGCAGAGUUUUAUAAUUUUUAGAGCUUAUUUGAGCAGUUUUUGCAAAAAUGAUCAAUAAUAAGGACUAAAUUGAAAUUUUGCGUAUUGUGAUGGAUGACUGAUUUGAUGGGCCCAGGAGAGACUGUGUGAUGUGAUUGAGUUGU